Molecule: ribosomal RNA, 262 nt
Filed under: uncultured bacterium
Lineage: Bacteria
Description: partial 16S ribosomal RNA
Rfam family: Bacterial small subunit ribosomal RNA
Source: RNAcentral
GUCCACGCCGUAAACGAUGGUCACUAGAUGUGGGGGUGUCGACUCCCUCCGUGUCGUAGCUAACGCGUUAAGUGACCCGCCUGGGGAGUACGGCCGCAAGGCUAAAACUCAAAGGAAUUGACGGGGACCCGCACAAGCAGCGGAGCAUGUGGAUUAAUUCGACGCAACGCGAAGAACCUUACCUGGGCUUGACAUACUGCUGACCGGCAUGGAAACAUGCCUUUCCUUCGGGACAGCAAUACAGGUGGUGCAUGGCUGUCGU